This 301-nucleotide ribosomal RNA is filed under the name uncultured Prevotella sp. Its description in RNAcentral is "bacterial SSU rRNA". It matches the Rfam family "Bacterial small subunit ribosomal RNA", at positions 495 to 795 of the family's 1533-position model. The record is from RNAcentral. Lineage: Bacteria; Pseudomonadati; Bacteroidota; Bacteroidia; Bacteroidales; Prevotellaceae.
CGAUAACGCGCUGCACGCGACGGCGGGAAUACGGAGGAUCCAGGUGGUAGCCGGAUUGAUUGGGUGUAAAGGGUGCGUAGGCGGCCUGAGAAGUCAGGGGUGAAAGACGGUAGCUCAACUAUCGCAGUGCCCUUGAUACUGCCGGGCUUGAAUGGACUAGCGGUAGGCGGAAUGAGACAAGGAGCGGUGAAAUGCAUAGAUAUGUCUCAGAACACCGAUUGCGAAGGCAGCUUACUAUGGUCUUAUUGACGCUGAGGCACGAAAGCGUGGGGAUCAAACAGGAUUAGAUACCCUGGUAGUC